ACAAUUAAAUACACUAUCACGAAGGGGAUUGAGCUAAUUAAUUAAGUUAAGUAGAGCUAUAACCAUGUGUUGCAAUAUAUGGCUAAUAUAAUUAAUUAGGGGUGAUAGGCCUCACAAGACCUCCGAUAUCUUGUUUUUCAGGAAAUAUAUUAAGUAUUUUUUCAACUUAGGAGUGUCUAGGCUCUUAAGUCCUACUAAUUUAAAUUAAUAGUACAGUAAAUUGCCUAACGGCAAUUAUCUAAACAAGAUUAAUAUUAAUCAUUUAGACUUGUAUACACCUACUGGAACAUGAAUAGAAACUAACUAUACAAUGUUACUGUUAAUAUUAGUAUACACUAAAGGUUUUUAUAGGAACUCGGCAAAUGACUUCUCAACUGUUUAUCAAAAACAUAGCUAGGUGAAUUAUUAAUAUCUGGUGAUUCCUGCUCAAUGGUUUGUCUAAAUAGCCGCAGUACCCUGACUGUGCAAAGGUAGCAUAAUCAUUUGGCUUAUAAUUGAAGUCUAGCAUGAAAGGAUAAAUGGGGAGUGACUGUCUUUAAAAGCUAAUUAGAAAUUACUUAGCAAGUGAAAAUUCUUGCGGAUACCUAACAGACGAGAAGACCCUAGAAGUUUUGUAUAUUAGUAAUAAGAUAUUAACAUUAUUUUGUUGGGGCGACAGAGUAGCAAUGAACCUAUUUUUACAGAUUUGAACUAUGUGUUGAGUUAAAUUAAACUACUCUAGGGAUAACAGCAUAAUUUAUUAAAGUUUGUGACCUCGAUGUUGGACUAGGGAUCUUAGUGCUUAGAAGGUACUAUGACAAGCUCUGUUCGAGCUGUAUUCCCUACAUGAUCUGAGUUCAGACCGGC
Molecule: ribosomal RNA, 846 nt
Filed under: Xeroplexa ponsulensis
Lineage: Eukaryota; Metazoa; Mollusca; Gastropoda; Stylommatophora; Geomitridae
Description: partial 16S ribosomal RNA
Rfam family: Bacterial large subunit ribosomal RNA
Source: RNAcentral